AGAAUCAACGCUGGCGGCGUGCCUAACACAUGCAAGUCGAACGAGAAAGUGGGAGCAAUCCCACGAGUAAAGUGGCGCACGGGUGAGUAACACGUGACUAACCUACCCUUGAGUGGGGGAUAACCUAGGGAAACCUGGGCUAAUACCGCAUAAUGCCUACGGGUCAAAGGAGCAAUUCGCUUUAGGAGGGGUCGCGGCAGAUUAGUUAGUUGGCGGGGUAAUGGCCCACCAAGACAGUGAUCUGUA
Molecule: ribosomal RNA, 246 nt
Filed under: uncultured bacterium
Lineage: Bacteria
Description: partial small subunit ribosomal RNA
Rfam family: Bacterial small subunit ribosomal RNA
Source: RNAcentral